UGAGCAAUCUGCCCUUCUCAUCGGAAUAAGCGUUGGAAACGACGUCUAAUGCCGAAUACGACCUCCUUUCGCAUGAUCGGAGGUGGAAAGCUCCGGCGGAGAAGGAUGAGCUCGCGGCCUAUCAGCUAGUUGGUGUGGGUAAUGGCCCACCAAGGCGACGACGGGUAGCCGGCCUGAGAGGGUGACCGGCUACACUGGGACUGAGACACGGCCCAGACCUCCGUACGGGAGCAG
This 234-nucleotide ribosomal RNA is filed under the name uncultured bacterium. RNAcentral describes it as "partial 16S ribosomal RNA". It matches the Rfam family "Bacterial small subunit ribosomal RNA", at positions 118 to 347 of the family's 1533-position model. The record is from RNAcentral.